UCCCCAGUGGCGUAAGUGGCUAGCGAGCUGUACCUAUACAGCAGUAUCUGCGAGUAAUGCGAGUUCGAUCCUCAUCUGGGGAA
Molecule: non-coding RNA, 83 nt
Organism: Araneus ventricosus
Lineage: Eukaryota; Metazoa; Arthropoda; Arachnida; Araneae; Araneidae
Source: the annotation of a GenBank genome assembly